GCAAUUGUGGCCUAGUGGUUAGAGCGUCCGCCUCGAAUGCGGAGGUCGUGGGUCGAGUCAUACCAAAGACUUAUA
Potamilus streckersoni is the source of this 75-nucleotide non-coding RNA. The record is from the annotation of a GenBank genome assembly. NCBI's taxonomy places the organism in Eukaryota, Metazoa, Mollusca, Bivalvia, Unionida, Unionidae.